CAGGGGGAUGAACUCAGGAAUGGACAGAUAAAAGGGACAACUCUCACUGAAUAUCGUGCUCCAACCCCGCCAAAGCAUUCUGGCUUCCACCGCUACCAGUUCAUGUUGUUUAAGCAGCAUCCAGACACACCAGUGUCACUCAGCGAGCAGGAGAAGUUAACCCGCGGUAAAUGGGAUCUUCAGGCCUUCAUCAAAAAGUCUGAGCUGGGGAAUCGUGUUGCAUCUCUGCAGUUUCUCACCCAAAACUACCAAGACUGAAGGAUACUCAGGUGCCUGAAGGAAGAAUCUAUACGUACAAUAAUAUAGCUUGAGAUUUUCCUUACUUUACCUAAAUUAAACAGACAUUAAAUCAUUUCUUCAAA
Long non-coding RNA from Centropristis striata (black sea bass), 362 nucleotides. RefSeq lists it as uncharacterized. NCBI's taxonomy places the organism in Eukaryota, Metazoa, Chordata, Actinopteri, Perciformes, Serranidae. The record is from RefSeq and is a predicted model, not a curated record. The transcript has 3 exons.